GGCGUAAAGCGCGCGUAGGCGGUUAAGUAAGUUAAUUGUGAAAGCCCAAAGCUCAACUUUGGAAUUGCAAUUAAAACUACUUAGCUAGAGUUUAUCAGAGGAAAGCGGAAUACAUAGUGUAGAGGUGAAAUUCGUAGAUAUUAUGUAGAACACCAGUUGCGAAGGCGGCUUUCUGGGAUAACACUGACGCUGAGGUGCGAAAGUAUGGGUAGCGAAGAGGAUUAGAUACCCUCGUAGUCCAUACCGUAAACGAUGAUUGUUAGAUGUUGGAAAUUUAUUUUCAGUAUCACAGCUAACGCGUUAAACAAUCCGCCUGGGGAGUACGACCGCAAGGUUAAAACUCAAAUGAAUUGACGGGGACCCGCACAAGCGGUGGAGCAUGUGGUUUAAUUCGAAGCUACGCGCAGAACCUUACCAACACUUGACAUGUCUGUCGCGGAUUCCAGAGAUGGAUUCCUUCGGUUCGGCCGGACAGAACACAGGUGCUGCAUGGCUGUCGUCAGCUCGUGUCGUGAGAUGUUGGGUUAAGUCCCGCAACGAGCGCAACCCCUACUUCUAGUUGCCAUCAGGUUAAGCUGGGCACUCUAGUAGGACUGCCUGUGAUAAGCAGGAGGAAGGUUGGGAUGACGUCAAGUCCUCAUGGCCCUUACGUGUUGGGCUACACACGUGCUACAAUGGUGGGGACAACAGGUUGCCAACCCGCGAGGGUGAGCCAAUCCCAAAACCCCAUCUCAGUUCGGAUCGGAGUCU
Molecule: ribosomal RNA, 750 nt
Filed under: uncultured Alphaproteobacteria bacterium
Lineage: Bacteria; Pseudomonadati; Pseudomonadota; Alphaproteobacteria
Description: bacterial SSU rRNA
Rfam family: Bacterial small subunit ribosomal RNA
Source: RNAcentral